UCGAGGCCCUCUCUAAAACCCCUCAAUCUUCUUCUUCUCCUCUCUUAAACCCUAAUUAAAAUCUCACUCUCUCUCUCUCUCUUUUCUACACACAACAAUGGGUAGUAGCCAAGCUGCAGUUUCAUUCCUCACAAACCUAGCCCGAGCCGCUUUCAGCCUAGGCCUCGGGGGCGCAGUUCUCAAUUCCUCCCUUUACACCGUCGACGGCGGCCAACGCGCCGUUCUCUUCGACCGUUUCCGUGGAGUCAUCGACGAAACCGUCGGUGAAGGCACCCACUUUUUAAUCCCAUGGCUACAAAAGCCCUUCAUCUUCGAUAUCCGUACCAGGCCCCACACUUUCUCCUCAAUCUCCGGAACGAAAGAUCUCCAGAUGGUUAACCUCACGCUCCGUAUCCUCUCUCGCCCUCAAGUCUCCCGCCUCCCCGACAUUUUCAAAACCUUAGGUACCGAAUAUGACGAAAAGGUCCUCCCUUCGAUCGGUAACGAGGUGCUCAAAGCCGUCGUGGCUCAAUUCAACGCUGAUCAGCUCCUCACGGAGCGUCCACAAGUCUCCGCUCUCGUUCGUGAGAGCCUGAUCCGACGCGCCAAGGAUUUCAACAUCGAGCUCGAUGAUGUGGCGAUCACGCACUUGUCGUAUGGAGCUGAGUUUUCGAAAGCUGUGGAGCAGAAGCAGGUGGCUCAGCAGGAGGCUGAGAGGUCGAAAUUCGUGGUGAUGAAGGCUGAGCAAGAGAGGAGGGCGGCGAUUAUUAGGGCUGAAGGAGAGAGCGAAUCAGCUAAGCUGAUUUCGGAUGCUACUGCGGCUGCUGGAAUGGGUUUGAUUGAGUUGAGAAAGAUAGAGGCUUCGAGAGAAAUUGCUGGGACUUUGGCUAAGACUCCUAAUGUUGUUUACUUGCCUAAGCAACAGAAUAUGCUUCUCGGACUCAAUCGUUGAGUAGAGAGACUGGAGAUAACUUUCAUUCAACUUGGCGACUUGCUAUAUGCUUAGGAGUAUUUGUAUGUUCAACAAACCUGCUGUUUCUGUGCGACCUUGGAGUUCUCCUAUGGGAGGUGGACUCUUUAAUGGUGGUGUAUUUUGCUGUUAUUCUUGGUAACUUCUGCAGCCUCUUUUUACCAGUCUUUUUCCGGUUCAAAGAUGGACAGCAUUGAUUAAUCCUGGAUAGCUUAUGUUAGCAUCGAGCGAAGAAACCAGGAACAUUGAGCAUGGAGCAUGUUUCUACUUGGCUCCCUUUAUGAUAUAUGCAAUAGUGUUUAUUUAGACAAUCUCAUCACUCUUCUCCACAGCUUACCCUAUUUGCUAACUUACUUUAAAUAAUUUUCAUGUCAUGCGACAUUUUGAAGAGCCUAAUGGCUCUUGCACGUGAAUCUCCGAAUAAAAAAUCAGUAUUUUCUUGCUUUACGUUUA
This is an RNA transcript of Nicotiana tabacum (common tobacco), 1402 nucleotides long. It is a transcript of the gene named prohibitin-3, mitochondrial-like, with no coding region annotated. The record is from RefSeq and is a predicted model, not a curated record. Lineage: Eukaryota; Viridiplantae; Streptophyta; Magnoliopsida; Solanales; Solanaceae.